Phrynosoma platyrhinos (Desert horned lizard) is the source of this 73-nucleotide non-coding RNA. Lineage: Eukaryota; Metazoa; Chordata; Lepidosauria; Squamata; Phrynosomatidae. The record is from the annotation of a GenBank genome assembly.
GCCAAUGUGGUGCAGUGGGUUUGAGCUUUGGACUAUGACUCUGGAGAUCAGGGUUUGAAUCCCAGCUCUGCCA